UCCCUGACAGUCCAGUGGCUGGGACUCUGUGCUUCCACUGCUGAGAGCCCAGGUUCAAUCCCUGAUUGGGGAA
This is a non-coding RNA of Bos taurus (domestic cattle), 73 nucleotides long. The record is from Rfam. NCBI's taxonomy places the organism in Eukaryota, Metazoa, Chordata, Mammalia, Artiodactyla, Bovidae.